This 989-nucleotide ribosomal RNA is filed under the name human gut metagenome. RNAcentral's name for it is "bacterial LSU rRNA". It matches the Rfam family "Bacterial large subunit ribosomal RNA", at positions 1938 to 2925 of the family's 2925-position model. The record is from RNAcentral.
AACUAUAACGGUCCUAAGGUAGCGAAAUUCCUUGUCAGGUAAGUUCUGACCCGCACGAAAGGUGUAACGAUUUGGGCGCUGUCUCGGCAGCAGACUCGGUGAAAUCUUAGUACCUGUGAAAAUGCAGGUUACCCGCAACUAGACGGAAAGACCCCAUGGAGCUUUACUGCAGCCUGAUAUUGAAUUCUGGUCAUACAUGUACAGGAUAGGUGGGAGACAAAGAGACGUGCACGCCAGUGUACGAGGAGUCGACGUUGGGAUACCACUCUUGUGUGACCGGGGUUCUAACCUGGUAUCGAGAACAGGUACGGGGAGAGUGUCAGGUGGGCAGUUUGACUGGGGCGGUCGCCUCCCAAAGAGUAACGGAGGCGCCCAAAGGUACGCUCAGAUUGGAUGGAAACCAAUCGUCGAGUGCAAUUGCAGAAGCGUGCUUGACUGUGAGACAGACAAGUCGAACAGGGACGAAAGUCGGGAAUAGUGAUCCGGCGGUGCCGAAUGGAAGGGCCGUCGCUCAACGGAUAAAAGCUACCCUGGGGAUAACAGGCUGAUCUCGCCCAAGAGUUCACAUCGACGGCGAGGUUUGGCACCUCGAUGUCGGCUCAUCGCAUCCUGGAGCUGGAUUCGGUUCCAAGGGUUGGGCUGUCCGCCCAUUAAAGCGGUACGCGAGCUGGGUUCAGAACGUCGUGAGACAGUUCGGUCCCUAUCUGUCGUGGGCGCAGGAUAUUUGAUGGGAGCUGUCCCUAGUACGAGAGGACCGGGACGGACGUACCUCUGGCGCACCAGUUGUUCCGCCAGGAGCAUAGCUGGGCAACUACGUACGGAUCGGAUAAACGCUGAAAGCAUCUAAGCGUGAAGCCGACCCAAAGAUAAGAUAUCCCAUUGUUUCAAACAAGUAAGACCCCUUGAAGACUACAAGGUUGAUAGGCACGAUGUGUAAGUGGAGUGAUCCAUUCAGCAAGCGUGUACUAAUAGGUCGAGGGCUUGACCAC